Molecule: non-coding RNA, 73 nt
Organism: Acanthoscelides obtectus
Lineage: Eukaryota; Metazoa; Arthropoda; Insecta; Coleoptera; Chrysomelidae
Source: the annotation of a GenBank genome assembly
GGUGCCGUAGACCAAUUCGUUAUGUCGCAUCCCCGAAAUGGAGGAGAUGUAGGUUCAAGUCCUGCCGGCGCUC